AUUUAAUUUAACUUCUAAUUAAUUGAAUAAACCUUGUCAAUAAAUUGUAAAAAUAUAUUAAUAUUGUUGUUGCGUGAUUUUAUUACCGACCAUUCGAAUUAAAACUACAAACCGUUUUAUUGUUUGAAUAUAUUUAUAAGUUAAAAUUUUAUAUAUUACUUAAUAUAUUGGUUAUUUAUAACUUUCAUGGAUGGGUUUUUCUAAAAUCCAACAGAAAGAAACCGACGUCUGACGAUAAUGCCUCCCGCGUCUCGGCGUCUCGCAUACGCACUACGGUAUUCGCUAUCAUUUUGUUAUAAACCACGGAAGUGUCAAUAUUUAAUACUAUUAUUAUAUAAUAAGUAUAGCCGUACGCCCGUACAGCAGAUGCACAGAUGCAGCAGAUAUCGUUUUUGUAAGAUAACAUAAUUUCAAAAAAUUAUACCAAGUGGGUGAUAAGUUCUUAUUGAAAUUUCGCAGUAUAAUUCAUUAG
This is a long non-coding RNA of Myzus persicae (green peach aphid), 472 nucleotides long. RefSeq lists it as uncharacterized. NCBI's taxonomy places the organism in Eukaryota, Metazoa, Arthropoda, Insecta, Hemiptera, Aphididae. The transcript has 2 exons. The record is from RefSeq and is a predicted model, not a curated record.